AAAAAAAAAAAAAAAAAAAUGAUGCCAUUUAAAUAAAAAAAUAUGAACGAUACGGAUGAGCAAGUUGAAAAUUUGUUCAAAGAAAAACUAACCAAAGAGGUACAUAAAUUAAAGGGUUAUAAAAUUAUUCAAAAUGUAUUAUUAUUAUUUGGGGAAAGGUAUAAAAUCUUAGAGUCAAAACAAGGAACAUCAAAAAUAGGGGGACAAUUAUAUAACUUAAUUGAAUCAAAAUAUAUAAAUAAAAUAUUGUAUGAGGUUCUUGUUCGCAAUAGAAACGUCAAUUUGUUUGUAAGUACUACUAAUAACAUAUGUUGCAGUGUUUUCCCAUGUCGUGUAAAUAAAAUUAUACAAAUAAAAAAAAUAAAUAAAAAUAAUGAUUAUAAUAGCAGUAGUAGUAACUAUAAAUUAAAUAAAACUCAAAUAAUUGUACAUUUUAAAAACAUUUAUAAUGAAUUUUCAUUUUAUUUUUUAAACAAAAAGAAAUAUUUUGUCAUUUAUUAUAAAAUCACACACUAUGUAAGCACUGAUGAAUUGGCAAAAUAUGACAAAAACAUUAGUGCGUUGACACUUGCCGUGUUUUCGUAUGAGUCUGUUAGAGGUAAUCAUACGUGGAGUAGUAAUAGUAGGAGUAGUAGUAGUAGGCACGUGUUAAAAAACAAUAAUAAUAAUAAUAAUAAUAAUAAUAACAAUAAUAGUAAUAAUAAUAAUAAUAAUAACGAAUUGGAGCACUAUAUAAUAUAUAAGAAUGAAAAAAAAAAAGUAUAUAAGCGACUAAACAAGAGUAGUUUGUUUAAAAGGAUAAUGGCGAAAGUGAAAGUGAAAGGUCAUGGUAACGGGAUUAAAAUAGGUGAACAAAAGGAUACAGUAUGUGUUAGGAGAAAGGGGAGAGCAAGUAUUGGUGGUGGAAGUAGUUGCAAUAACAACAAUGGCAAUAACUUUUUAGAAAAAGAAAAAAAUUGUAAAAACCUUUUAUACAGUUACACAAAAAUUAAAAAUGCACCAACAAAAAAGUUUGUUGAUCAUUAUAUUUUAUUAACUAAUUAUAUACAUAGUAAUAAAAUGUCAUAUUUUUGUUUUAUAAACACUUUUAAAAAGGAAUUACAAAAGUAUAUAUCGUCACAUAGGCAUGACUUAUCCAUCCAAAGUGUGUUAAAUCGACUCAGUGUUAUACUAAAUAACAAAAAGGAGCAAAAUCAAAACGUACAUAAUAUAAAAAAAAAUGUAAAAAAAUGGCUAGGUCACAACAAUAACGGUCACGUGCUAUUAUAUAAUACAAACCAAUUCUCUAGCUUAUUUAAUUACCAUAACUAUUUAAAGAGUGAUAAAAUAAAAAAGCCAACAAGUAGACAUAACAUAACAGUUUUUAAUAGUGAAAAGAAUUUAAAAAAAAAAAAAAAAAAAAUAGUCACUAUAUCAAAAUUUAUUCUUCCUAUUCAAAAAAAAAAAUUUAAUUUAUAUUCGUUAUUUAUGAAACAGUUUUCGCUUAAAAAAAAAGAUUAUUACAACAAAAAAAUUAACCAAAAGAAGAACAAAGUUAACGAAAAUGAUCAUAUAAAUAGCAUAAAAAAGUUUUAUACAAAGAUUAUUGAUUUAAUAGAGAGAAAAAAAUAUAGUGAUGAUAAUAAUGUUGCUUUUUCUAUAUACAGUAACACCUUAAAAAAAGGGAAAAAAAUAUUUUUAACUUUUAAUAAUUUAAAUAAAUGUUUUUUUAUUUUUAUGUAUCCAUUUUUAUUAUAUUUUAAUAAAUACAAUUGGUGGGAUAUUUUAAAUAUAUGUGGAAAUAAAAAUAAUAUUAUUACUAUGUCAAAAAAUUAUUAUUUUAUUAUAAAAUUUUUAAUUGAAUUUUAUAUUUUUAUUCGUGUUAUGUAUGAAAAAAAAAAAAAAUAUGUCAAAAAAUUACAGUUGUAUCUUUCAAAUAGGACGUUAAUUGGAUACACAAAUUAUAACAUAUUUAAAAAACAAAAACAUGUAAAAAAACAAAAAUAUUUAUAUAAAUACACUUUCCAUAGUGUUGUAAAUAAUUUUUUUUUUUUUCCACAACAGCAAUAUCUAUUAAAUAUAAAAUUGUUUACAAAAAUUAAAAAAAUUCUGUUAAAUUGUAAUCAUUUUAAUAAACAUGUUUACUUCGAAUUUAAAAAAAUAAAACUAGAACAAAAUUGCACAAGCAUCACGGAUUUGUUGUCAUGGAUUAACAGUUUUAAACGUGACAUUUUUUUAAUGAAAAGGAAUGAGGAAAAAUGGGUAUAUUUUUUAAAAAAUGAGAAAAUAGAGCCAUCAAAAGGAUGGAGCACACUUUGCAAUAGCACACGACACUAUAGUAGCAGUCACUACGGUGCAAUUACAGAUAUACAUAACAACACACAAGAAAAAACAAAUAAACAGUUAUUAGUAGUUUUCAAAAUCGAAUCGUAUAAAGAAAAAAUAUUAAAGAUAGCUAAAAACAUAUGUAUAUAUUUACUACAACUUUUUAAUAACUUGAAAAAAAAAAUACCUAUUUUGGAAAUAGUCUACAUGUUUAAACAAGUUAAUCUUCUUAUUGAAAAUUUUCCAUAUAUUUAUAUAUGUCAUAUAAAAAAAAAAAAUAUUAAAAUAAAAUACUUGUUUUAUAAAAAAUAUAUUCAUAGUAGCACUAAUGUUAUGCAUCUUUUUAAAAGUUCUAUGAAAAAUACACAUAAAGAAAUAUUACAGCUAGUAAAAAAAAAAAAAAAAAAAAUUUUUAAAAGCGUUUUUUUUGAAAAACCCGAAUUUUUUUUUUUAUUAAAAGUUCAAAAGUUAAUGUUAUAUUUUUAUUUAUAUUUGUUUACAAAAUUUUGUUCAAAAAUGGGUUGUCACUGUUUCGGUGGUAGUACUAGUGCUACUAAAAAAAACGAAACGUUUAAAACCAAAGGGAAAAAAAAAGAAAUGCUUAAAAAUGUUACUUAUAAGAAAAAACGCAUAUAUAAUAACCGGUUCGACACAUUUACUAAACAUGUUAAAAAAGAAAAAAGUGAAAUUUAUUUUUUUUUUCGAAAACAUAAAAAAAGCUGCUUUUUACAUAACGGAAGAAAAAAAAAAAAAAAUUAUGAACGUUCAGAAAAUUGUAACGAUUUGAGAGCUAUCCAAAAAGAAAUAAAAAAAAAAAAAAAAAAAAAAAAAAAUACAAACACUUUUAUUUUAAAAAGAGUAAGUAUCAAUGAACAUUAUUUGGUAGAAAAAGCAAAAAAAAUAAUAAAUAAAAAAAAAGGAAGAAAUAAUCAAGGAGAAAAUGUUAAGAAAAUUGGUACAGACACAAAACAUACUUUUGUAAAGGGUCAACAAAUAGACAUUAAUAAAAAGCCAAGUGAAAAUCUAAAUAAAAAAGAAAAAUUUAUAAAAAAUGAAGAAAAAUAUUUCACCUUUUUUAAAUUGAACAUGAUAAAAAAAAUAGUUUCCAAAUGUAACGAUUGGCUAGUUGACAAAAUAGAAAAAGGAAUUAAGGAAAAACAAAAGUUUUUUUUUUAUUUUUUAAACGUAAAUGCACAUAAAAUUCGACUACUUGAAAUUGUGAGCAUGUUACAACAUGCGGCGAAAGAUGUUAUGGAUUUUAUGCACAUGAUGCUGGAGGAUAACACGAUGUUAAGUUUGGAUAAAAACGAUGGUACAAGUUGUGACAACACGAUCGUAAAUAAUAACGAAAACGAAAAUUUUGACAAUACUUACAGUAGU
RNAcentral lists this long non-coding RNA (3684 nucleotides) under Piliocolobus tephrosceles (Ugandan red Colobus). RNAcentral describes it as "lncRNA (ENSPTEG00000005146.1)". The record is from RNAcentral. Lineage: Eukaryota; Metazoa; Chordata; Mammalia; Primates; Cercopithecidae.